RNAcentral lists this unclassified non-coding RNA (3560 nucleotides) under Leishmania donovani. RNAcentral's name for it is "gene:LdHU3.36.3100(CDS-product:hypothetical_prote in_conserved)". The record is from RNAcentral. Lineage: Eukaryota; Euglenozoa; Kinetoplastea; Trypanosomatida; Trypanosomatidae.
CGCCAGGACCGCAUCACCACAAAAACUAAGAAACAACAGCGAGGAAAGGAAAAAGCGAAAAACUAACACGAGACGGCAGGAGACGCAGCCGAUUCGCGUCGGACAAAGAGGGCGCCGUAUAAACACCCGGCUGAAGACUAGAAGAACGGCGGUGCAGCACGCGCGCAUACGCACUGGUCUGUGAUGGAUGGAAAGCGCAGACAGUACGUGCCACCGGCGCUAGGAGGCUCUCCAGCCUCUACCGCUGCCACAACCGCGGCGGCGGUCGCAGCGGAUGCGGCCGCAAAGCGCCUCAUCAGCCUCCGAAACAGCGCGCGCCCGCCGGAGCCGUCCCUACCGACGCAGACCUCCCCGAACGCACAAGCGUUGCGUGAGCAGGCCGUGGCAGACAUACGCCAGCGCGCACCAUCCCUGAAUUCGGGCAGCUCACAGGUGUUUUUGCCCACCGCUAGGGAUGGCGGGCACUCUGACAGUGCCACCAACACGACAGCUUUCGCUGCCACGGGUCUGCCGCGCACGUAUAGAGACGACUCGCUCUCCCUUCCGCGCCCUCGCUCGUACGCAGCACCACCGCUAGCCUCGUCGGCAUCAUCAUCGCCAGCGCCAGCUACCGUUGCCGCUGCUGCUGCCGCUGCCGCAUUGCUGAAGAUUCGAAACCGAAUCGGCAACAGCACAACGCCCGGCACCGUUACCAGCGGUCAUCCCUCGUCUUCCGAGAUGAUGCCACAAUCCCCGUCGUGGCACUUGACCGCCAGACCCCCGCCAAAGGCUCCGCGGUCGUGGACACCGCCAACGCUCUCUCUGCGGCGACCAUCGUCCGCCGCCACCAUCGCCAGUCACCCUACAGGAGAGGUGCACGAGCGGAGUUACGCCAUCACCGCUUCCGCGAACCUGUCGCCGCAGCACGUGUUCUUGUCCUCGUCAUCGCCGACUCCCCCUCCAUCGGACGCACCUGGAUCAGCAGUGGAGCCGCGUCGGGAUGUGCUGGGGCUGGGCGGUGACGCGGCUAGAUGCAGCGACGUUGUAGGACUGGCGUCGGUGUCACAAGCAGGGCUCAAGCGGCCGCGCGACUUUGGCGUCCCCUCGAUAUCCGAUGGUGAGGAUGACCGUGACGAUGGUGGUGAUGGUGGACAAGGAGGUACCAUCGCCUCCUCACCAGCCUCUCCGCGUUCUUCUUCUUCCUCCACCGACAAGGCAUCCGCGCCGCCCUCGAUGAGCAACGGCGUGGGUGCAGGUCUCCCUCGCGCUCCUGUAAGGGGGGAAGGGCUCGGCGAGGGCUCGGCAACGCGCCCCCUUGCAGCGUGGCGAGGCCUCCUCCCGCGUCCUGGUGUUGGAGACGCCAGCACUGCACCACAGCCGCAGCACCCUCUCGGCCUUGCAAGCCUUCAUCAGCACGCUUUUUCACGGCUGAACCGAGCCACCACAGCGUCCGACGAAGAAGCUGAGCAGGCGACGUUCAACCGUGAAACGGAGGACGAAGAUGCGGUCGCAGAUGAUGAGACCGGGGAGGAGGAUGGGGGUGGCGGCCGCCGGAGCGUGGUGCAAAGUGACCCGCUUCGUGUCGUGGUGGAUUUCGCUGAGGUAAGAAGGGCUGCAGCGCGCUCCAAGACGGCCGCUGCUGCCGCUGCCAGUAGUGAUGGCGCCCUGCAACAAGCAGAGGAGGCGGAAGCCAUGCUCACAGACGCCCAAAAGGGGAGCGAGUCGCAUCGCCACGCGAAGCAGGAUAAUGCGAGCAGGUGCAGUCUUGAAGCAGAGCGCGACGCGCGUGACGUCGCAAGCGCACGCGCUUUCUUGGAGAAGCGAGCAUGGGCCGACGUUCAUCGGCGUGCGACGCAAGCGGCCACCACACCCGCACCACCAUCGGAGCUUCUCCUCGACCUCCUUCAGCAUCUCCCGACCACGCCGGGACGUGCGAUUUACGACCGAAGCAGCUGCCCGCCCACUGCCGCGGCUAGCGGCUUCGACGAAGACUUCCACAAGUGCGUGCAGCAGCUCAUGACACAAAUAGUGCUACAGCGCGAUGGCCGAAUCGGCGAUGCGAAGCUGCCCUCCGUUUCCCUUGCUGAUGCAGCGGCGGCGCAGCAAGACAGUGCCUCUCUUCGCCAUCGCAGUCGCAUGCAACGAAAGGGUGCAAAGCAGAAACAGAAAGAGGGUGAGGUGGAGCAGCUCGUUGAGGCUGUCGAGAGGGGCAUUGCAGACGAUGUGCGCGAUGUCGUUGCCUACGCCCGAUUCCUCAUGCAGGAGCGACUGCAUCAAGAGCAGCGGAAGGUGUCAGAGCGUCUCUCGUCACCUUCGAAGACGGCAGUCGAAGAAUCGGAGGGGAACUUCUGCCCUGACGGCGACAUGCGGACCCCCGAACAGCAACAGCAGCUUGCUGAGCUGCGAGCGGUGGUUGAGAAAAAGCUAAGCCUCAUGCGCGCUGCUGCGGAGUCCACCGACAAAGGGGGCGAGUCCGAGAGUGCGACGUUGCGCACCAAGCGAGCGCAGAGCACGCGGGGCAGCGAGGAUGACGCCGACGGGAUUCCAGGGGCAACUGAUGCGGCGCUUCAGGAUUCCAAGGCAGUGUUUGCCGCGGCCCACAGGCGAUUCAUGGACGUCGUGCGCAGCGCAGCGGCAAGUCGCCGCGAGAAAGUGGAAGCAGCUCAGGCGGCGGAGCAGCGACUGGAGGCCACCGUGGCCGCCUGGCGGAAGUCCUACGAUAAGCUGCUGACGCGCGAGCUGAGCCGUCACUGCGCGGGGAAGAGGCCAGACAAGCAAUCACGGACGGAGGCACUGCUCCAGGCUAUGCAGCCGCAGCAGGAGAAGCACCAGAAGCGGCAACACCACCGACCCCCGACUGGUCUGUGGGAGAUGACGAAGGGAAUGCACAAGAAAGAGCGCAAGCACCUGAGCAAGCUUGUCAAAGCAGCGGCUAAUGUGCUCCCUCUCCCGCCCUUUCAGUACCCGCCAGCACCACCACACUUCUCUCCGUAGCGCCGCCCUUUUUCUGUACCUCUCUAUCGCUCUGCCUCUCUCGAUUAACACCGCCGUCACUGACACACCGCAACGUGUGGGAGGGGAAGGAAGGGGCGAAGGUAGAAAGGUUGAGCACAGGCGCGCGGAAAGGCAGCCCGAGUACGUUGCGGUCAUCUUCGCACACACUCCCGAGCUACAUGUGUACGCACAGGCAUGCAAGUGCAGGGGCACAUGAUAUGCGCAUGCUCUACGAGCCAUCUCUGCCAAAGCGAGAGAGGGAAAGGGGAAGCAGUUUUUGAUCGUGCACGCCGCUGUCCGGGAGCAUACAUGCGUGCCGGUACCGCUUGCAUGCCUCGCGUUUGCCUUCUCAUGUGGUUUCCUUUUUUCCCGCAUUUUUCAGUGAAUCUCAUGAGGUGAUCCACCCCCCCCCUUCCGUCGUCGUCGCCUCGCUCACUUCUCGCGGCUGCUGUCACUGCAGUUGUUGUAGCAUCGACCUCUCAUGAUUCUACCCUCACUGUUGCCCGCCUCACCGGCUCGUUUCCUGCUCCCGUUCUCCCUCUAUUCUCCUCUGUUGUAUUUGCCUUUCUCUCUGUCGGCUUUCACAG